UACGGAGGGUGCAAACGUUGCUCGGAAUCAUUGGGCGUAAAGCGCGCGUAGGCGGCUUGGCAAGUUGGGUGUGAAAGCCCUGGGCUCAACCCAGGAAGUGCAUCCAAAACUGCCUAGCUUGAGUUCCGGAGGGGUCCAGAGAAUUCCCGGUGUAGAGGUGAAAUUCGUAGAUAUCGGGAGGAAUAUCGGUGGCGAAGGCGCUGGACUGGACGGAUACUGACGCUGAGGUGCGAAAGCGUGGGGAGCAAACAGG
This 253-nucleotide unclassified non-coding RNA is filed under the name uncultured Myxococcales bacterium. RNAcentral describes it as "contains 16S-23S intergenic spacer region". It matches the Rfam family "Bacterial small subunit ribosomal RNA", at positions 524 to 776 of the family's 1533-position model. The record is from RNAcentral. Lineage: Bacteria; Pseudomonadati; Myxococcota; Myxococcia; Myxococcales.